This 253-nucleotide ribosomal RNA is filed under the name uncultured bacterium. RNAcentral's name for it is "partial 16S ribosomal RNA". It matches the Rfam family "Bacterial small subunit ribosomal RNA", at positions 524 to 776 of the family's 1533-position model. The record is from RNAcentral.
UACAGAGGUCUCAAGCGUUGUUCGGAAUCACUGGGCGUAAAGCGCACGUAGGCGGCUUCUUAAGUCAGGGGUGAAAUCCUGGAGCUCAACUCCAGAACUGCCUUUGAUACUGGGGAGCUCGAGUCCGGGAGAGGUGAGUGGAACUGCGAGUGUAGAGGUGAAAUUCGUAGAUAUUCGCAAGAACACCAGUGGCGAAGGCGGCUCACUGGCCCGGUACUGACGCUGAGGUGCGAAAGCGUGGGGAGCAAACAGG